Non-coding RNA from Cinara cedri, 405 nucleotides. Lineage: Eukaryota; Metazoa; Arthropoda; Insecta; Hemiptera; Aphididae. The record is from the annotation of a GenBank genome assembly.
CCAAUAGUCUACAUCUCUCAGCCCAGGCAAUCUAAACAGCUGCAUCUUCCGAAACGUUAAUUUCAUCAUUUUAUCAACAGUAAUUAUUUUAUUUAAUAAUAAUAUUUAAAAUACGUUCAAGAAUCAUGAAGGAUUAGGUUAGGGAUGCAGUACAUAUAGUACCAUCAAAAAGUAUCGAGGAUAUAGUAUUACUCGAAAAUCGAGCAUUGAAGAGCCGUUGAAGGGUCGUUAUUACUGGCUUCUUUGACAUCCGAGUCCAUCUAUUUUUGUAAUUUCUCAUAAACUUCUUCAUUUUGAUGUCACCGAUAUUUUUAUAUUUUUGUAAAAUAUAUUUUUCAUGUUUGGUGAUUUUAUAAUGAAUACAAAAGAAAAGCAACUUGACGAGCUUUUUGGAUGUUUUAGAGA